Non-coding RNA from Thalictrum thalictroides, 134 nucleotides. Lineage: Eukaryota; Viridiplantae; Streptophyta; Magnoliopsida; Ranunculales; Ranunculaceae. The record is from the annotation of a GenBank genome assembly.
ACCAAUUCAUGGGGAUGAAAAAGGUUUCUCAUGGUAUAAUGGCUUGGACGCCAUAUAUAAUUUCAUAAUGUGGUUAUCCUGAUACAUGGCUUCUUUUUCAAUGCCAUGAUAUCCUGGAAACGCCACAUAUAUCU